This is a long non-coding RNA of Saccostrea cuccullata (small rock oyster), 505 nucleotides long. RefSeq lists it as uncharacterized. The record is from RefSeq and is a predicted model, not a curated record. NCBI's taxonomy places the organism in Eukaryota, Metazoa, Mollusca, Bivalvia, Ostreida, Ostreidae. The transcript has 5 exons.
AUUAAAGCAUAUUUCUACAAAAAAUAUUUUUUUUUGUACAGAGGUGCCAUUGCCAGCAACAACUUCAAGUACACAUGAGGAUGCUGAUUGUUCAAAUCCUGUUGGAGAUGAAGCCCUAGUAACUGCAGCAAACAACUUGGAGAAGGAAGCAACACAGACAAUUGUAGAACUCCCUGAUAAUUUGACAGGAACAAGUGUCACAUAUGACCUGAUGAUAUCAGAAUCUGGGGCUAAGAUUAAGAAAAAAGAUGAAAAAGAGAAAGGAAGAAAGAGGAAAAAUGAAGAAAGUGUUGCUGAGCUGCAAAGACUGGUUCUGAAAGAAGAUUUGCGAAGAAUUCGAGAAGAAACAGAGCUGAUCAUACUACAGAAGGAAAAGGUUGCAUUGGAGAUUCUGAAACUUAAAUUAGAAACAUCAUCUUUGCAAACUGAAAAUGAAAUGUAAAUUAAAAGUAGUUAUUGACAAUGAAUUGUCUGAUGUUGUUAUUCAUGGGCUGGGCAGCUACUU